GGGCGAAAGCCUGAUCCAGCCAUGCCGCGUGUGUGAAGAAGGUCUUCGGAUUGUAAAGCACUUUAAGUUGGGAGGAAGGGCAGUAAAUUAAUACUUUGCUGUUUUGACGUUACCGACAGAAUAAGCACCGGCUAACUCUGUGCCAGCAGCCGCGGUAAUACAGAGGGUGCAAGCGUUAAUCGGAAUUACUGGGCGUAAAGCGCGCGUAGGUGGUUUGUUAAGUUGGAUGUGAAAUCCCCGGGCUCAACCUGGGAACUGCAUUCAAAACUGACUGACUAGAGUAUGGUAGAGGGUGGUGGAAUUUCCUGUGUAGCGGUGAAAUGCGUAGAUAUAGGAAGGAACACC
RNAcentral lists this ribosomal RNA (345 nucleotides) under uncultured bacterium. Its description in RNAcentral is "bacterial SSU rRNA". It matches the Rfam family "Bacterial small subunit ribosomal RNA", at positions 373 to 710 of the family's 1533-position model. The record is from RNAcentral.